This 1160-nucleotide ribosomal RNA is filed under the name uncultured organism. Its description in RNAcentral is "SSU rRNA". It matches the Rfam family "Bacterial small subunit ribosomal RNA", at positions 35 to 1184 of the family's 1533-position model. The record is from RNAcentral.
GCUGGCGGCAGGCCUAACACAUGCAAGUCGAACGGUAACAGAAAGCAGCUUGCUGCUUUGCUGACGAGUGGCGGACGGGUGAGUAAUGUCUGGGAAACUGCCCGAUGGAGGGGGAUAACUACUGGAAACGAUAGCUAAUACCGCAUAACGUCGCAAGACCAAAGAGGGGGACCUUCGGGCCUCUUGCCAUCGGAUGUGCCCAGAUGGGAUUAGCUAGUAGGUGGGGUAACGGCUCACCUAGGCGACGAUCCCUAGCUGGUCUGAGAGGAUGACCAGCCACACUGGAACUGAGACACGGUCCAGACUCCUACGGGAGGCAGCAGUGGGGAAUAUUGCACAAUGGGCGCAAGCCUGAUGCAGCCAUGCCGCGUGUAUGAAGAAGGCCUUCGGGUUGUAAAGUACUUUCAGCGGGGAGGAAGGGAGUAAAGUUAAUACCUUUGCUCAUUGACGUUACCCGCAGAAGAAGCACCGGCUAACUCCGUGCCAGCAGCCGCGGUAAUACGGAGGGUGCAAGCGUUAAUCGGAAUUACUGGGCGUAAAGCGCACGCAGGCGGUUUGUUAAGUCAGAUGUGAAAUCCCCGGGCUCAACCUGGGAACUGCAUCUGAUACUGGCAAGCUUGAGUCUCGUAGAGGGGGGUAGAAUUCCAGGUGUAGCGGUGAAAUGCGUAGAGAUCUGGAGGAAUACCGGUGGCGAAGGCGGCCCCCUGGACGAAGACUGACGCUCAGGUGCGAAAGCGUGGGGAGCAAACAGGAUUAGAUACCCUGGUAGUACACGCCGUAAACGAUGUCGACUUGGAGGUUGUGCCCUUGAGGCGUGGCUUCCGGAGCUAACGCGUUAAGUCGACCUCAUGGGGAGUACGGCCGCAAGGUUAAAACUCAAAUGAAUUGACGGGGGCCCGCACAAGCGGUGGAGCAUGUGGUUUAAUUUGAUGCAACGCGAAGAACCUUACCUGGUCUUGACAUCCACGGAAGUUUUCAGAGAUGAGAAUGUGUCCUUCGGGAACCGUGAGACAGGUGAUGCAUGGCUGUCGUCAGCUCGUGUUGUGAAAAGUUGGGUUAAGUCCCGCAGCGAGUGCUAACAUUAUCGUUAGGUGCCAGUGGUCCGGCCGGGCACUCAAAGGAGAUUGCCAGUGAUAAAUUGGAGGAAGGUGGGGAUGGCG